AGAAGCUUGCUUCUCUGAUGUUAGCGGCGGACGGGUGAGGACACGUGGAUAACCCACCUAUAAGACUGGGAUAACUUCGGGAAACCGGAGCUAAUACCCGGAUAAUAUUUUGAACCGCAUGGUUCAAAAGUGAAAGACGGUCUUGCUGUCACUUAUAGAUGGAUCCGCGCUGCAUUAGCUAGUUGGUAAGGUAAACGGCUUACCAAGGCAACGAUGCACAGCCGACCUGAGAGGGUGAUCGGCCACACUGGAACUGAGACACGGUCCAGACUCCUACGGGAGGCAGCAGUAGGGAAUCUUCCGCAAUGGGCGAAAGCCUGACGGGGCAACGCCGCGUGAGUGAUGAAGGUCUUCGGAUCGUAAAACUCUGUUAUUAGGGAAGAACAUAUGUGUAAGUAACUGUGCACAUCUUGACGGUACCUAAUCAGAAAGCCACGGCUAACUACGUGCCAGCAGCCGCGGUAAUACGUAGGUGGCAAGCGUUAUCCGGAAUUAUUGGGCGUAAAGCGCGCGUAGGCGGUUUUUUAAGUCUGAUGUGAAAGCCCACGGCUCAACCGUGGAGGGUCAUUGGAAACUGGAAAACUUGAGUGCAGAAGAGGAAAGUGGAAUUCCAUGUGUAGCGGUGAAAUGCGCAGAGAUAUGGAGGAACACCAGUGGCGAAGGCGACUUUCUGGUCUGUAACUGACGCUGAUGUGCGAAAGCGUGGGGAUCAAACAGGAUUAGAUACCCUGGUAGUCCACGCCGUAAACGAUGAGUGCUAAGUGUUAGGGGGUUUCCGCCCCUUAGUGCUGCAGCUAACGCAUUAAGCACUCCGCCUGGGGAGUACGACCGCAAGUUG
RNAcentral lists this ribosomal RNA (838 nucleotides) under uncultured Staphylococcus sp. RNAcentral describes it as "bacterial SSU rRNA". It matches the Rfam family "Bacterial small subunit ribosomal RNA", at positions 74 to 896 of the family's 1533-position model. The record is from RNAcentral. Lineage: Bacteria; Bacillati; Bacillota; Bacilli; Caryophanales; Staphylococcaceae.